Molecule: ribosomal RNA, 1911 nt
Filed under: Triticum aestivum (bread wheat)
Lineage: Eukaryota; Viridiplantae; Streptophyta; Magnoliopsida; Poales; Poaceae
Description: partial small subunit ribosomal RNA
Source: RNAcentral
AUGGCGCAAUGGUGGUGGGAGGGGCGGGAGCUGCGUAUCCUUGUCCUAGCCAGCCUCAGCGCCCAAUACUUCCUCGUAUUAUUUGCCGGCGUCCGUAAGUUCCAUAUCCCGCCAUGGCUCCGAGUUUCAUUCCGGCUGGCGCACAUCGGCAGCGACGCUCUGGCCAUCUUCACCCUCGCCACGCUCUUCAGCCGCCAAAAGAAUGGGCCGAGCUGCAGCUAUGCGCGUGGCAGCCACAGUUUGGAGCUGUUAUGGGCGCCGAUCGUGCUGAUGCACCUCGGUGGGCAGGUCGUCAUAACCACCUAUAAGAUUGAAGACAAUGAGCAGUGGAGCCGCCACAUCCUAACCUCUCUAUCCAAGGUCGUUGUUGCACUCUAUGUGUUUUACAAGUCAUGGUCGUCAAAUGACAAAAGUUUGUUGGCUGCAACAAUUUUGCUUUUCUUCAUGGUGAUUAUCAGAUGCUUCCAGAAGGCCCUGGACCUUAAGAGCAGUAGCUUUAAUGCCCUACGGAAGGCCAGCUCGUCCGGGAUUAGCAUCAUUCGGGGCACCUAUGUCACAGAAAAAAGAAGGCUUGACAAAUUUAUAAAAAAAGCAAGAAAAGUCGUGCACCGUGAUGGACCGCGGGGAUCACCGGCAGACCUCCCAAGGCUACCAUACCAGCUAUUUUUGGACUUUCCAUGUCUCUAUUCUGAUCGUGUUGGAAUCCUGAAUUUCUGGUUGCUUGACCCAAAAUCAGCUUAUCAAGCAAUAGAACGCGCACUGUCUGCUAUGACCAGUUUUCUCUACACCAAAGAUGAUACUGUCAAACCCUACCUUGGUUCCAAGGAAGCAUCAGCAACGGCCGUCUUCCGUCGGUGCACACAAAUACUAGCUUAUGCAACGUUAAUCGUAGCCAUCUGCCUGGUACAGACUAGUAGCCAGAAAAAAGAUUAUAACAGUGAAGAUACCUGGGUUACACUAGUACUGUUGUGGGGCACUUUUGUGCUGGAGCUGGUUUACUUGGGCGUACAAACAGCUUUCCGGGACAGGUUCUCUGGCAGAGUUCUCCAACAUAGUCUUAUUGGAUUAUUAGCCCAUAACAGAAGGCACUCGAGGUUGAGGACGAUUGCGGGAUGGUUGCAAUGCAAGGACUUCCUCGACGAUUGUUGGCACAUGAAGCCUAUCUAUUCGUGCGAGGAGAUUACAGAACUGGUCCGUCAGCAUGUUGAGUCAUUGUGGAAACACUGCAUCUUGGACAAUGAGACUUACAGUUGGCAUAAUGAUACCAGAGGCGAAUGGACGCUCACGAGUAAGCGAUGUCUCGGAGAACUGGGUUGGAGCAUACGGAGGCCAUUUGACGAGAGCAUUAUUCUCUGGCACCUGGCCACAGAUCUGUGCUUCCAGGCCAUAGAUUUAAUGUUUCAUGGUGAGGUCACGUCUCCUGAUGAUCGUGAAUGUGCCCGUCGGUGCAGAGAAAUGUCCAACUACAUGAUGCAUCUCUUGUUUGAUAAUCCUGAGAUGCUAAUGCCAGGCAGCAGAAAGAGUUUGUUCACAAGGGCCUAUCAAGAACUCGAAGACAUGCUCCGGUAUGAGGAGGAGGCACGGCUGAACGAGGACCAGAUUACACUGUUAGUAUUUGAGAGAUGCCACAGAGGCAUCACUGGUGAUGCUUUGAGGCUUGCUGAAAGUUUGUUGGUUGAUGCUUACCAUGGCGACGCGACCCGAAUGUGGAAGGUGAUCCAGGGCGUGUGGGUGGAGAUGCUCUGUUUUUCUGCCGGCCGGUGCCGAGGAUACUUGCAUGCAGAGACUCUGGGAACAGGUGUGGAGUACCUCUCCUAUGUCUGGGUCCUCUUGGCACACGCCGGGAUGGAGACAUUUCCGGAAAAGCUUCAGAGGGAGGGUCUGUCGGUUGAGGGCGAUGAUCGGGUUUAG